ACUAGAUAUAGUCAUCACGGUGCCUUCGAGUCGCAAAUGCGGCUUGCGGGCUAAGAGGGAAGCCGGUGCGCGAGAUGUCUCGCAAGACCGGCGCUGCCCCCGCAACUGUAAGCAGUGAGUUCGUGCCGAACAUGUCACUGGCGCUUGGCCGCCGGGAAGACAGGCAGGAGCGUUUGAGCUGCAAGCCAGGAAACCUGCCGUGAUGAAGAUGAAACG
RNAcentral lists this non-coding RNA (216 nucleotides) under Nitratireductor basaltis. The record is from RNAcentral. Lineage: Bacteria; Pseudomonadati; Pseudomonadota; Alphaproteobacteria; Hyphomicrobiales; Phyllobacteriaceae.